GAGGGUGUAGCUCAGCAGGUUAGAGCGCAAGAUUGUGGCUCUUGAGGCCGUGGGUUCGAACCCCAUCAUCCUCCCCA
This 77-nucleotide transfer RNA is filed under the name Bacteroidota bacterium. Its description in RNAcentral is "Bacteroidetes bacterium (bioreactor sludge metagenome) tRNA-His". It matches the Rfam family "tRNA". Rfam says of the family: Transfer RNA (tRNA) molecules are approximately 80 nucleotides in length. Their secondary structure includes four short double-helical elements and three loops (D, anti-codon, and T loops). The record is from RNAcentral. RNAcentral also lists the same sequence under 2 other names. Lineage: Bacteria; Pseudomonadati; Bacteroidota.